AUUGAACGCUGGCGGCAGGCCUAACACAUGCAAGUCGAACGAGUGGCGGACGGGUGAGCAAUGUCUGGGAAAUUGCCUGAUGGAGGGGGAUAACUACUGGAAACGGUAGCUAAUACCGCAUACCAUCAGAUGUGCCCAGAUGGGAUUAGCUUUUUGGUGGGGUAACGGCUCACCAAGGCGACGAGCCCUAGCUGGUCUGAGAGGAUGACCGGGCACACUGGAACUGAGACACGGUCCAGAGUCCGACGAGAGGAAGCAGUGGGGAAUAUUGCGCAAUGGGCGAAAGCCUGAAGCAGCCAUGCCGCGUGUAUGAAGAAGGCCUUAGGGUUGUAAAGUACUUUCAGCGGGGAGGCGUUACCCGCAGAAGAAGCACCGGCUAACUCCGUGCCAGCAGCCGCGGUAAUUC
Molecule: ribosomal RNA, 406 nt
Filed under: uncultured bacterium
Lineage: Bacteria
Description: partial 16S ribosomal RNA
Rfam family: Bacterial small subunit ribosomal RNA
Source: RNAcentral